GAUGAACGCUAGCUACAGGCUUAACACAUGCAAGUCGAGGGGCAGCAUCAUCAAAGCUUGCUUUGAUGGAUGGCGACCGGCGCACGGGUGAGUAACACGUAUCCAACCUGCCGACAACACUGGGAUAGCCUUUCGAAAGAAAGAUUAAUACCGGAUGGUAUAGUUUCCCGCAUGGGAUGAUUAUUAAAGAAUUUCGGUUGUCGAUGGGGAUGCGUUCCAUUAGGCAGUUGGCGGGGUAACGGCCCACCAAACCUACGAUGGAUAGGGGUUCUGAGAGGAAGGUCCCCCACAUUGGAACUGAGACACGGUCCAAACUCCUACGGGAGGCAGCAGUGAGGAAUAUUGGUCAAUGGACGAGAGUCUGAACCAGCCAAGCAGCGUGAAGGAUGACUGCCCUAUGGGUUGUAAACUUCUUUUAUACGGGAAUAAAGUGAGCCACGUGUGGUUUUUUGUAUGUACCGUAUGAAUA
This 469-nucleotide ribosomal RNA is filed under the name uncultured Bacteroides sp. RNAcentral's name for it is "bacterial SSU rRNA". It matches the Rfam family "Bacterial small subunit ribosomal RNA", at positions 28 to 488 of the family's 1533-position model. Lineage: Bacteria; Pseudomonadati; Bacteroidota; Bacteroidia; Bacteroidales; Bacteroidaceae. The record is from RNAcentral.